Molecule: ribosomal RNA, 491 nt
Filed under: uncultured bacterium
Lineage: Bacteria
Description: partial 16S ribosomal RNA
Rfam family: Bacterial small subunit ribosomal RNA
Source: RNAcentral
AGUGAACGCUGGCGGUAGGCCUAACACAUGCAAGUCGAACGGCAGCACAGUAAGAGCUUGCUCUUACGGGUGGCGAGUGGCGGACGGGUGAGGAAUACAUCGGAAUCUACUUUUUCGUGGGGGAUAACGUAGGGAAACUUACGCUAAUACCGCAUACGACCUACGGGUGAAAGCAGGGGAUCUUCGGACCUUGCGCGAUUGAAUGAGCCGAUGUCGGAUUAGCUAGUUGGCGGGGUAAAGGCCCUCCAAGGCGACGAUCCGUAGCUGGUCUGAGAGGAUGAUCAGCCACACUGGAACUGAGACACGGUCCAGACUCCUACGGGAGGCAGCAGCGGGGAAUAUUGGACAAUGGGCGCAAGCCUGAUCCAGCCAUACCGCGUGGGUGAAGAAGGCCUUCGGGUUGUAAAGCCCUUUUGUUGGGAAAGAAAAGCAGCAGGUUAAUACCCCGCUGUUCUGACGGUACCCAAAGAAUAAGCACCGGCUAACUUCGU